Molecule: ribosomal RNA, 253 nt
Filed under: uncultured bacterium
Lineage: Bacteria
Description: partial 16S ribosomal RNA
Rfam family: Bacterial small subunit ribosomal RNA
Source: RNAcentral
UACAGAGGGGGCAAGCGUUGUUCGGAAUUACUGGGCGUAAAGGGCGCGUAGGCGGCCUUCUAAGUCGAACGUGAAAUCCCCGGGCUCAACCCGGGAACUGCGUCCGAUACUGGAAGGCUUGAAUCCGGGAGAGGGAUGCGGAAUUCCAGGUGUAGCGGUGAAAUGCGUAGAUAUCUGGAGGAACACCGGUGGCGAAGGCGGCAUCCUGGACCGGUAUUGACGCUGAGGCGCGAAAGCCAGGGGAGCAAACAGG